RNAcentral lists this ribosomal RNA (270 nucleotides) under Triticum aestivum (bread wheat). RNAcentral describes it as "partial small subunit ribosomal RNA". Lineage: Eukaryota; Viridiplantae; Streptophyta; Magnoliopsida; Poales; Poaceae. The record is from RNAcentral.
AUGAACAAAGCUGGACGACUUGCGCUUGUCAAGUCGGUACUCAACGCCAUACCUAUCCACCAACUCCUCGUGCUCGCGCCCCCAAAGAAAACCUUAAAGCAGCUCGAGAAGAUCCAGCGCGGGUUCCUAUGGGCCGGCCGUGUGGAUGCUCUCGGUGGUCACUGCCACGUGAAUUGGCGCCGGGUUUGCCACCGCUUGAGUAUGGUGGGCUGGGCGUCCGGGACCUGGAGCGCACUGGACUCUCACUACGGUUCCGCUGGCUAUGGCUAG